RNAcentral lists this ribosomal RNA (833 nucleotides) under Triticum aestivum (bread wheat). Its description in RNAcentral is "partial small subunit ribosomal RNA". The record is from RNAcentral. Lineage: Eukaryota; Viridiplantae; Streptophyta; Magnoliopsida; Poales; Poaceae.
AUGAGCUUUCUGGACAAAUUCUGUGACUAUUACGACAAAAUUGAGGUCUACUGUGAUGGUAUGAUUUUAUACAAUGGCGAACGAGACAAGAAAAUGAAAGAAUUGCCGGAGCACCACCACCAGCAGCAGCCUAUGGACACCAUCCACCGCCACCAGCGGCCAACAGGAGGAAAGGGACGUCCCGCCUUAUCGCCUCCGCCGCCCCACUACAGCAGAAAAGAAUCGGUUGGCCGGCGCCGUCAGCCCCGCGCGGCGGCGGCGGCGGGGGGAGUGUGCGGCUGCUGCGGCAGCGGGUGGUGGAACAGCGAGGGCGCGUCGCGGCCGCCGAGGUCCAUGGAGGACCUGGCGGAGCCCGGCGGCGCGGCGAAGCGGGCGGAGAAGUCGGGGUACCCCGGGAGCUCGCCGCCCGGGGCGCCCUCCGGGGUGGCGCCGUGGCCCUCGUCGAAGUUGAGCGCGUAGCUGAGCGCGUCGUAGUUGAGCUUCCGCCCCCCGCCGGCGCCGGCGCCGGCCCCGUGCCGGUGGUGCCCGCGGCGGAACCGCCGGAUGAAGGUCUUCCAGCGCGGGCCGGCCACCAGCUCCGACCACUCGCGCACCUUCAUCAGCGCGUCCACCCCGCGCCGCCACCACCGCCGCCGCUCCGCGCCCGCCCUCGUCCCUUCCCCGACCUGGUGCCACCACUCCUCGUCCGUCGUGGUCGGCCCCGCGCGGCGGGCGUGCGAGGAGGAGGACGACGACUGCCACGGCGCGGAGAAGCAGCAGCAGCGGUACCGGCGGCGCGAGAAGAAGGCCGCGUCGGCGUCGUCGGGCGCGCCGCCGUAGCCGCCUCCGUCCAU